GGUGGUUGUAGCUCAGCUGGUUAGAGCAUCGGUUUGUGGUACCGAGGGUCGCCGGUUCGAACCCGGUCUUCCACCCCCA
RNAcentral lists this transfer RNA (79 nucleotides) under Ulvibacter sp. MAR_2010_11. RNAcentral's name for it is "tRNA-His". It matches the Rfam family "tRNA". From Rfam's summary of the family: Transfer RNA (tRNA) molecules are approximately 80 nucleotides in length. Their secondary structure includes four short double-helical elements and three loops (D, anti-codon, and T loops). Further hydrogen bonds mediate the characteristic L-shaped molecular structure. tRNAs have two regions of fundamental functional importance: the anti-codon, which is responsible for specific mRNA codon recognition, and the 3' end, to which the tRNAs corresponding amino acid is attached (by aminoacyl-tRNA synthetases). tRNAs cope with the degeneracy of the genetic code in two manners: having more than one tRNA (with a specific anti-codon) for a particular amino acid; and 'wobble' base-pairing, i.e. permitting non-standard base-pairing at the 3rd anti-codon position. The record is from RNAcentral. Lineage: Bacteria; Pseudomonadati; Bacteroidota; Flavobacteriia; Flavobacteriales; Flavobacteriaceae.